RNAcentral lists this ribosomal RNA (576 nucleotides) under Anomalagrion hastatum. RNAcentral's name for it is "SSU rRNA". It matches the Rfam family "Eukaryotic small subunit ribosomal RNA", at positions 606 to 1157 of the family's 1831-position model. The record is from RNAcentral. Lineage: Eukaryota; Metazoa; Arthropoda; Insecta; Odonata; Coenagrionidae.
AAAGUUGUUGCGGUUAAAAAGCUCGUAGUCGGAGGUGUGUCUCGGACGGUCGGUUCGCCGCUUGUCGGUGCUCAACUGGCCGGUCCGGACGUCCUGCCGGUGGGGCCUCGCGGCCCCGUCAUCCUUCUUUGGUCCUCUUCACCGAGUGCCUUGGUGGGCCGGCACGUUUACUUUGAACAAAUUAGAGUGCUCAAAGCAGGCCGUUGGUCGCCUGAAUACUGUGUGCAUGGAAUAAUGGAAUAGGACCUCGGUUCCAUUUUGUUGGUUUUCGGGACUCGAGGUAAUGAUUAAUAGGGACGGACGGGGGCAUUCGUAUUGCGACGUUAGAGGUGAAAUUCUUGGAUCGUCGCAAGACGAACCGAUGCGAAAGCAUUUGCCAAGAACGUUUUCGUUGAUCAAGAACGAAAGUUAGAGGUUCGAAGGCGAUCAGAUACCGCCCUAGUUCUAACCAUAAACGAUGCCAGCUAGCCAUCCGCCGAAGUUCCUUCUAUGACUCGGCGGGCAGCUUCCGGGAAACCAAAGCUCUUGGGUUCCGGGGGAAGUAUGGUUGCAAAGCUCAAACUUAAAGGAAUUGAC